Molecule: long non-coding RNA, 82 nt
Organism: Gopherus evgoodei (Goodes thornscrub tortoise)
Lineage: Eukaryota; Metazoa; Chordata; Testudines; Testudinidae
Exons: 3
Source: RefSeq, a predicted model, not a curated record
UGUAGUAAGAUGAGGCCCUGAAACAAACUCUUGUCUGAGGCCUAGUCUGAGGCAUGAAGCCUGAACCAAAGUACUUCCAGGC